This is a long non-coding RNA of Equus caballus (horse), 4266 nucleotides long. RefSeq lists it as uncharacterized. Lineage: Eukaryota; Metazoa; Chordata; Mammalia; Perissodactyla; Equidae. The record is from RefSeq and is a predicted model, not a curated record.
ACUUCAAAGGGGAGGAAAGCAAUUCACAUGGAGAUGGAAAAGAAAAUGUUUGAUAAAACAAGUGUUUGCUGGGCCGUCUAUGGACAAUGAGACUCAUGGGAGAACAUUGAUAAAAAUGGGCUUAGCAAGGAUCCUCCUGUCCAACACACCUAGUUUAUAUCAUACUAUAGUUAUGGCAUUAGCUCCUUCCUGGAACAGGUCUUCUAUCUUAAAUUCUGUCAGGCAGUUAGCGGGAAGGUCAAAGUUUCCUUCAGAGUCUUUCAUUCUUAAAAAUAAUCAUGCCAAAGAGAUACAUUUUGGGGUGGCCAAUUCUGAUCCCCCACAGGUUCUAAGGAAGGAAGAGUAGAGUAACGCAUGACUCAUGCUUGAGAAAGGGAGACAAACUGGUUAAAGCUGUCUGUGUCUUUGGAUUAGAGUGGGGAAGUGAAUUGGACACCUAUUAUGUAUCUUUUCAAAUUCUCUAGGCUUCAUUUCUUAUUCCAGCCAUGUGGGCUUCAACCAAUUUUGGGAAGUAAAAAUUGACUCUACCUUACCUUGAACCUCUUACUUCCUCUGCUGGGGCUUCUCUGAGGCUGUGGCAUGGGAUGCUGUAGGACCCCACCGGGCGCUAAUGCACAUCUCUCUUGGACUCGUGGGAGAGUUAACACCCUGGGGACAACCUUGAUCAAUAGGGGAUGGGUGCUGCCAGAUAACUUUGUCUCCCUUUCUUGCCCUAGGUGAAUGGUUCUGAGAUGGAUUUCAUUAGACUACUUAAAAGGUUCUGCUGGAACGAAUUGCCCAUAGCAGUGACCAGUGCAUCUGCGAUCUAGGACGUGUGCAGUUGGCUCAUCUUAGAUUCCAUGCAAGAUGGCAUUGGAAGGGAAAGGAGACCUCAACUGAAAGAUGCUCAAGUGUGCACAGUGACCAGGGAUGGAGAGAGAAGCUGCAAUUGGCUAGCUAGUGGUGACAGAGGAGCUGAGAAUCAAACAGGGGAUGGAGAGGUAAUCCAGAGAUUGGCAAGAGCAUGAAGCCACUGCAUCCUGAGGUUGGAGGACAAAGUGAGAGGUGGUGUUACUGGAGCCCAAAAGCUGGGGCCGCUAGAAAGAAGCUGGAAUCAGAGUGGGGCUCUUCAGUAGGAACUGAGCUUCUGAGGAAGCACAGCCAGUGCGGGAGAGGCCAGCAGAGGCGAAGUGAGAUGGGGAGAAGUACCCUGGCUUUUCCCUUCCCUCUCACCUUCUCUUCCCCGUUGAGAACCUCCAAAUGGCCAAAGCCAAAGAAGCUAGCUCUGCUGAAAUAUAGAGCAGGUGGAGUAGGGGAUGGGUCUGAGAGCAAACAGAUAUAGCACUGGCAUAGAGCAUGCUGCCAAAGAACCUAUGAAGAAACACCCACGGAAGAAAGAAUCCAUUUUAAACACUUGCCAAUCCCUGUGGAAACCAAUUCCAGAUUGGAGCCAAUUGGGGGACAUUUUUUCCUGCCAUUAACUCCUCUCUCUUACUAUGCUGGCAAGCCCUGAGGGGUCAGAAACUAUAGCCAGUAAGUUGGGCAUAUUCCUGGAGAUGCUGACAGAAUAAAGAAGGAGGAACCUGCCUUCUGCCUCCUUUUCCACUCCUGGAUUCCCACUCACCAUUGGCUUGAGCUGGAGGAUGUAGAAGGUUUAACUCUGAAUGAAAUUUGGGUUUUUGGUUAUUACAUUGGAGCACACAUUAAUUACUAAAACAGGUCUGUUUUAGGCAGCACUGACAUGACUGGAGGACAUUAUCUGAGAGAAGUCAGAUAACCUAUGGGGCCUGCUUUAGAGUUCAUCUAAAGUAGUGUGAAUAAAUAAGCCUUCUCACACUGAACAGUUAUGCAAAGAAAGUUGUGAGAGAAGAACAAAGUUUAGUUGCAUUAGAACCCUUUUAAUCCCAUCUGUGAAUGGGAAGCUUUGUGACUGGUCCCUUUGAAGCUCUUCUCACUUGAGUAGAGGUGACAGUGAAGAUUCCAGACUCCUCCAUUUACACACAGUAGUGGGUUAGGAGCCAAUGGUCGUGUGCACGCUUUUUUCUCUUUUCACUGCCUCCACCAUAGGAACCGAAAUGUGGGAAUAGUUGACAUCUAUUAUUUUUAACAUUCUUUAAUAUUCACACUUGGAAUGAUGAAGUCUUUAGCCUCAGCAGACAAGAAGGAGUGUAUGCGAUAUCUUUAGUUGUGAAAAUAUAAAGUGCUACCUGUCCAUACUCACCUUUUGUGAUUGUUGAAAUUCAUGUCUCUUCCACAUGGACUCUUGUCUGGAAUUCUGAAGAAUCCUGUAUAAGGCACACCUGCUCCACAGACUAACAUAAUCCUAGGUUAGAAUAGGAACAAGUCAACUUGAAAUCAGAGUUGUGACCCUAGGAAAAAAAUGGUGCACAGCAAUGAAGUAAAUUCUCAGAAGUCCCUGCUGAUUUUGGAACAGAGACUGUCAUAAACCCAUGAUUGAGAGUGUUAUCACAGAAAGGGAUGGGAAUGGAAAGAUAUUGAUUGAAGUGUUGAAAGUACUAAAUCUCUUCUUGGAGAGGGAAUGCUGUAUGAUCUUAGAUAAGACAUGUGGAGGGCUGGGGCAUAUUAAGAGGGUCUUCACUUUGAAGGGAGAGAUUGGCCCAAUAAUUAGGCAAGGAGGAGAUCUUAAAGCUGGGAAUUGAGAUGUUAAAGCAGGCUUGGGAUAUCUGGGGGAAAGUGAGAGAGGGCCCAGAAAGUGGAGCCGGAAACUACCUUUCAAACUAGGUGACCACACCUCAGAGACCCAGUGACUCUGGGGAGGAGGAGGGAAUGGCAAUAGAUUGGGUUAGUAUUUCACCCAAUACUUUUCUUUGCCUUUAGGCAAGAAAGCUGCUCAUCAUUAUUGAGCAAGGACUACCCAAAGUUUGUCCACUGUCAGGGGAAGCCAGGCCUACACCUGAGCCUAGCAAUCUGCUUUGGGUGGAGUGGAUGUGGUCAAUGAUGCUGGGAGAAAGGAGAGUGCUCUAAGAAAACAAGUAGUGAUUCUCUAGUAGAAAAAUAUGGGCACUUCACCAGGAUUUAGGUCCAACCCACAUGCUCUUGGGUAGUUAGUACUCUGAAAAAACAGAUUCCAGAUGUUAACUUUGUUCCCAUAUCCUGGGAAGGGCAGAUUGUGUGGGGUGCACUAGUAUGCCAGCAAAUGUCAUUUAUAAGAAUGCAAAGUUUACUUGAGGAGGAAUGCAACAGAGUGACAUGCACACACACAUACACACACACAAUUACCAGGGAAGAAAAUGAAUGAAGAGCUCUGGCAGACUAGGAUUAGAUUGGUCAGCAUUGGGAGGUGGUGCUAGGAGUAUGCAUGGAUUGUGACACUUGAGGAAGCCUGUGAGCUGUGCAAUGAAAGCAACAGGCUUGGAACGAAUCACAUGAAGAAGAGCAGAGGCACCUUGAGAAUCUGCCAGCUUCUGCCGUAUGAGCAGUAUUGAGGGCAUGGUGGCUUAGUCAAUGCCUGCCCAUCCCCAUCCAUGCGCCCUGUGCCUACAACAGGAGAGGAGCCACAAUAGCUAUCCUUCUAGGAGGUAUCUGGUGAGAAACUCCAGCAAGAGCUGAUGUAAUAGGCAAAAGUGAUAACUGUUCAGCUCUCUCUAAACCCCUCAGUAUGGAUCUCUCCCUUGGAACACUUACAAGUUCCAAUGUCACUCCCAAACCUGUCUACAGAAUACAGAUUGAAACAGAAAUUUAGCCCUUGACAAAUAGCGGGCUGCGUGACAUGAGAGAGAAAACGUUAAUGCCUUUAUUUUGUGUGACUUAAGAGAAACAACUUGAUAUUCUUUCCCAGAGCUGGGACAUGUGGAAACAUGGCCCUGUGUACCAUCUCUGUUACAUAAGUAACAAAAUCACAUUUUCAGAUGUCAUCUCCCUACCCCAUAACUCACAUUAGUACUUUAAUGAAACCAAUUAAUAUUCUACUUCAACUUUGAUUUCUAAAGGGGACCCAAAAUAUGAGUGUCACUAAGAUUUUUAUCAUUUGCAUUUCUCUUUGACACCAUGGUGUACAUUAUCUGCAUAAUCUCAGUAUCAGCAAAUGUUACCCAGAAGUUUAUAGGUGUUGCUGAAACCAUACACUUUCUGUUCCCACACCCUGGCUAGAAGUAUGGUUAGUAAGUAGUCUCUAAAAGAUCAGGUAGACUGCUUCUUGAUGGAGCUUGUUCUAAUUUGAAUGAUCCAGAAUUACAGGCAGAAAAAGUGAAAGAUUGUUUUGUAAUUAUUCGCAAUUUAUGAAUAUUUAAUAUACUACUCCAUUGGACAUAGAUCUACUUUGCUGUU